UACAGAGGGUGCAAGCGUUAAUCGGAAUUACUGGGCGCAAAGCGUGCGUAGACGGUUACAUAAGUCGGGUGUGAAAGCCCCGGGCUCAACCUGGGAAUUGCAUUCGAGACUGCGUAGCUAGGGUGCGGAAGAGGGAAGCGGAAUUUCCGGUGUAGCGGUGAAAUGCGUAGAUAUCGGAAGGAACACCAGUGGCGAAAGCGGCUUCCUGGUCCAGCACCGACGUUCAGGCACGAAAGCGUGGGGAGCAAACAGG
Molecule: ribosomal RNA, 253 nt
Filed under: uncultured bacterium
Lineage: Bacteria
Description: partial 16S ribosomal RNA
Rfam family: Bacterial small subunit ribosomal RNA
Source: RNAcentral